UGGGGAAUUUUGGACAAUGGGGGAACCCUGAUCCAGCCAUCCCGCGUGUGCGAUGAAGGCCUUCGGGUUGUAAAGCACUUUUUGGCAGGAAAGAAACGUCGCGGGUUAAUACCCCGCGAAACUGACGGUACCUGCAGAAUAAGCACCGGCUAACUACGUGCCAGCAGCCGCGGUAAUACGUAGGGUGCAAGCGUUAAUCGGAAUUACUGGGCGUAAAGCGUGCGCAGGCGGUUCGGAAAGAAAGAUGUGAAUCCCAGAGCUUAACUUUGGAACUGCAUUUUUAACUACCGGGCUAGAGUGUGUCAGAGGGAGGUGGAAUUCCGCGUGUAGCAGUGAAAUGCGUAGAUAUGCGGAGGAACACCGAUGGCGAAGGCAGCCUCCUGGGAUAACACUGACGCUCAUGCACGAAAGCGUGGGGGAGCAAACAGGAUUAGAUACCCCUGGUAGUCCACGCCCUAAACGAUGUCAACUAGCUGUUUGGGGCCUUCGGGCCUUGGUAGCGCAGCUAACGCGUGAAGUUGACCGCCUGGGGGAGUACGGUCG
This 543-nucleotide ribosomal RNA is filed under the name uncultured bacterium. RNAcentral's name for it is "partial 16S ribosomal RNA". It matches the Rfam family "Bacterial small subunit ribosomal RNA", at positions 355 to 888 of the family's 1533-position model. The record is from RNAcentral.